AGCGGCGAACGGGUGAGUAACACGUGGGUGAUCUGCCUCGUACUGCGGGAUAAGCCUGGGAAACUGGGUCUAAUACCGGAUAUGACCUUCGGAUGCAUGUCUGAGGGUGGAAAGAUUUAUCGGUACGAGAUGGGCCCGCGGCCUAUCAGCUUGUUGGUGGGGUAAUGGCCUACCAAGGCGACGACGGGUAGCCGGCCUGAGAGGGCGACCGGCCACACUGGGACUGAGACACGGCCCAGACUCCUACGGGAGGCAGCAGUGGGGAAUAUUGCACAAUGGGCGAAAGCCUGAUGCAGCGACGCCGCGUGAGGGAUGACGGCCUUCGGGUUGUAAACCUCUCUCGACAGGGACGAAGCGCAAGUGACGGUACCUGUAGAAGAAGCACCGGCCAACUACGUGCCAGCAGCCGCGGUAAUACGUAGGGUGCGAGCGUUGUCCGGAAUUACUGGGCGUAGAGAGCUUGUAGGCGGUUCGUCGCGUCGUUCGUGAAAACUUGGGGCUCAACCCCAAGCUUGCGGGCGAUACGGGCGGACUAGAGUACUUCAGGGGAGACUGGAAUUCCUGGUGUAGCGGUGAAAUGCGCAGAUAUCAGGAGGAACACCGGUGGCGAAGGCGGGUCUCUCGGAAGUAACUGACGCUGAGAAGCGCAAGCGUGGGUAGCGAACAGGAUUAGAUACCCUGGUAGUCCACGCCGUGAUCGGUGGGUA
This 707-nucleotide ribosomal RNA is filed under the name Nocardia asteroides. RNAcentral's name for it is "bacterial SSU rRNA". It matches the Rfam family "Bacterial small subunit ribosomal RNA", at positions 94 to 815 of the family's 1533-position model. The record is from RNAcentral. Lineage: Bacteria; Bacillati; Actinomycetota; Actinomycetes; Mycobacteriales; Nocardiaceae.